This 883-nucleotide long non-coding RNA is filed under the name Nicotiana benthamiana. RNAcentral's name for it is "long non-coding RNA (NBEN_LNC015773)". Lineage: Eukaryota; Viridiplantae; Streptophyta; Magnoliopsida; Solanales; Solanaceae. The record is from RNAcentral.
UGACAAACGAUGAUAACUCAAAUCGACAUAAUGGGGAUUAGGAUUAAGGGUGGUCUGCAUACCUUUCUGAAGUGCAAUCGGUACUAGGAAGAGACAAGUCCGCAAUAGGAGCAGGUCAGGUGCAAGAUGUGAAUCAGCUGGGCAGAAUCAACUGGGCCUGAUGUUGGGUGCGGACGACGAUGAUAUGUUAAGAGUGAUAUUCCUGUGGCAGGGAGUCUAGGAGGAGCCACAGUAGACUCCCCAAUGGUUGGAAUGGCUAAGACUUCUAUAGCGGAAGGUGAAGGAGGAGCUAUAGUAGGCUCGGGUAAGAUUUCUGCGGCGGAAGGUGAAGGGGGAGCUAUUGUAGACUCCUUAAAGAUCAGUAUAGGUAAGACCUCAGAUAUAUCAAGGUGGUCAGAAUGGUCAGAAGAGGUAAAGAAAGGUUUAGAAGGUCGGUAUAGGUAAGACCUCAAAUAUAUCAAGGUGGUCAGAAUGGUCAGAAGAGGGAAAGAAAGGUUUAGACUCAAAAAUUGUGAAGCCAGAGGACAUAAAGUACCUACGAAGAUCAUGUGAGUAACAACGAUAUCCCUUCUGAACACGAGAAUAACCAAAGAAGACACACUUGACAGCACGGGGAGCUAACUUAUCUUUCCCAGGGGCUAGGUUAUGAACGAAACAAGUGAUCCCAAAAACACGAGGGGGAACAGAGUAUAAGGGUGAUUAGGGAGACAAUAUUGCAUACGGUGUCUGAUUCUAGAUGGGAGAGAAAGGCAUCCGAUUAACUAAAUAACAAGUUGUGAGAACUGCAUCGCCCAAAAAACGCAACGGAACAUGAGAUUCAAUGAGAAGUGUGCGAGAAGUCUCAAUGAUGUGCCUAUUCUUUCUCUCUGCAACCUCAUUUUGC